Dendronephthya gigantea is the source of this 1504-nucleotide RNA transcript. It is a transcript of the gene named RNA-binding protein 48-like, with no coding region annotated. The record is from RefSeq and is a predicted model, not a curated record. Lineage: Eukaryota; Metazoa; Cnidaria; Anthozoa; Malacalcyonacea; Nephtheidae. The transcript is spliced from 9 exons.
AAUGGAGAAAGAAAUUGAGGAUCAUCAUAAAAAAUCGUCACUAUGUGCAUCAAGGCCAAAGUAUAGGGAUGCAAGAUGGGAAAGGGCUGUUAAGGUCUAUACAAUAAAUUUGGAGUCAAAAUUUUUACUGGUUCAAGGUGUUCCAGCUUUGGGUGUAACUAAGGAUUUGUUGGAAACAUUUGCAAUUUAUGGCACAAUAGAUGAGUAUAGGAUUUUGGAUGAUUAUCCUUCAGAUAAAUUCACAAAGGUUUAUUGGAUAAAAUUUAGGCAUAUUAUGGCUGCACGAAAAGCUAAAAGAAAACUCGAUAAUCGUUCGUUUUUCGGUGGUAUUCUUCACGUUUCCUAUGCGCCAGAAUUCGAAUCGGUGGAAGAAACUAAGCAGAAAAUAAUGGAUCGAAAACGAGUCGUUGAACGUAAAAUACAUUAUAGUCAAAAACAAUCAAAGAGCGAACAGGAAACUGAUCACGAACCACAGACUUCGCAACGUUCGCGCAGUAUACAAUCAGAUUCUACUGUUACAUGUUCAAGAGUGCACUCGACAGAAAUAGCUGAUAAUCAGUCGACUGCCUCAACUUCAUCCAUGCCAGCAACCGCUAUGUAUGAGAACGAACCCACUCAUGCGAUUGUAAAUGAAUCACCAUAUCCUCCCCAAUUACCACCAUUCUCUGUUCCUACUUAUCCUUCGCAAGUGCCAACUAUGUCCACCUCAUUAGCCAACCCCCCUCAUAGAAAUGUAGGCGAGAAUCCUCCCUCAGCAACGGCUCCUCCCCAGCAACAUUACUCCAAGGCUCAAUCUGGACCUGUAACUUCUUCCAGCCGAAAAUUAUACGGUUAUAACACAAGUGUUAGUUUCCCUACACUACCUCCAAAUCAGAGGAAAGGAGUAUCUCUUCAGCCACCUGGUGACAAUACAAUUGAGGAAUCUUUAACCGGUGAUCCUUCCUUGGACAGAACUGUUCUUUCUAUAAGAGAAAAACUAAAAAGGGUCAAUAAAGAUCCCAUCGCUGAAACACAGGCGACAGUUGGUGACAAAAAGAAAAAACAAAGAAAACGAAUAUAGCGUUGUGGUUAAUAUUUUUCUGGGCAUUUAAUUGUUGUUACGACCGUGAGAAAGAUGCAAGUGUUGCCAAUGUAAUGACAGUUGUAAUAAGUGCAGCCCAAAAAUUAAAAACCAUAACAGCGUAGUAAAUAUCACGUAGUCGUGGACUCAUCAAAGACCAAUCACAUGGAAUACGACAUGUGCCAUUCUCAUCCUUUACCAAUGGAUGUAGACAAGAGCUGAAGUUUCUUUCUAAAAAUCAGAACUUUGAAGUGAGACUGGGUGCAGGAAAUUAUUAAAAUAUGACGUAAAUAGGACAGAGAUGCAAAUUAUACUAAAACAUUGCGACAUGAGACAGGAGCAGCAAAAGCAUUCAAUAGAAAGGCGUCCAGGAAAUGAAUGUUAGGAAAUGAAGCUCAGGAAAGACAAUCCAGUUUGGGUGUGUGAUACGAAACUGACGAAAUA